Molecule: long non-coding RNA, 872 nt
Filed under: Vombatus ursinus (common wombat)
Lineage: Eukaryota; Metazoa; Chordata; Mammalia; Diprotodontia; Vombatidae
Description: lncRNA (ENSVURG00010003369.1)
Source: RNAcentral
CUCAGUUUCCUCAUCCGGAAAGUGGGGAUAAUGAUCCUACUUCCCAGGGCUGUUUUGUAAUUCUUGAAGCAUUUUACAUGUGUGAGUAGUUCUUACCACAUCUGCUCUCUCUGGGCUUCUCUCUGGAGCAGAUUAUCUCAGGCAGGGAACGGGUGCCACCCUGGUUGCUCAGUUGUAUUUGCCAGCUCGCUGAGGCUUCUGGCAUCGAUCCCAAGCUCCUGCCGGCCUGUCACUGGCACCACUCGGGGGACAGAGGCUUCUUAGGAUGCCAAGCUCGGUCAUAGCACCAGCCUUGCACCACUGACCUCUCAGCCUCUGCUUUUGCUCCUCUCCCAGGCUAAAGCUUUGCUUUGCUCUUUCUCUAGCUACCAUCCUUGGCCCCCUUCUAUUCUCUUCUCCUCCCCUCUCCUCCUCCCUUUGUGCUGCUGUUCCACUGUGUUUUCUGUCUGAGACCCUGGCCACCUCUCCUUGGCCCGAUGGAACCCAGAGCUGGGGAUGGGGAGAAAGGGACCUUGCUGGGGACUGCUUUUUCCUGGGCUGCUGUCCAAAGCUUCGGUCUCUGGACAGUUGUUUCCCGAGGAAGAUGGAAGACUUGAGGGAGCGGACGGUGGAGGAACUGGAGAAGCUGCAGGAUGACCCCGAGGAGAUUGACCGUCUGGUCAUGGAGUCACCCGAGGUAAAACGAGUCGCCGACGUCUGCGUGGACCUUUCUAGGUUUGCUCACCGUGGGAUUAUCUCCAGCUUACAGAUGGGGAAACUGAGGCAGGCAGCGGUGAAAUGACGUGCCCAGGGUCACACAGCCGUCUGAAGCGGUCUGAACUCGGGUCUUCUUGACCCUGAGUCCCAGAGCAAAGGUGACUGUAAUAAUAGCA